CACACUCUCUCUUCUUUCUUUAGUCUCUCUAUUUAAAUAAUAAAAUAAAUAUACAAAAAGGGGGUUAGGAGAUGAAUAUAACAUAGGUUGAGGGUUGGAGGUGGGUGAUAGAGGGGAUGGAGGAGGAUGGUGAUGUGACAUUAUGGAGACAAUGAAUGAUGAAGGAGAAGAGGAUGGGUAUAACACACAGUCUAAACGGGAUACUGUUGCAACAGGAAGUUCACACAUUCGUGAAGGCUAGCUCAUCGAGGACCUUUGAAUUAGUAGUGGAGCUAAGGGGGAUUGUGUACAACAACGUUACUAUGGAGGAUUUGAGUACUUAGGAGCCCAAGAGGAAAUGAUUUUGUUUUGCUUGAAAAUGUAGAAGGGAUAACUCGAGACAGAGGGACAAAAUGUCCAAAGUGGAAGAUGUUAGUGGUUGUAACAAAUGUAACAAUUAUGGAAGAAAACACCUUGGAGAUUGCAGAUUGGUUUCAAACCUUUGUUAUCGGUGUGAAAAAACCAGAAAAUUCAUUGCGACUUCAUAAUUUUGCAGGUUUGGUACUUAAAUGGGAAAUUUGGGAAGAAACCAGGAAUGGUUUAGAUUUGGGCUUGAAGAUGGAAUAAAGAGCAAAGACUUCUACUAAAGGCGAUUCCAAGCGGGCCAUUUGGAACCAAGGUAGCUACAUGCUGAUAGUAUCAACAACCGCUUUCAUUUUGGGUUCAUCAGCUUCAACCAGAUCACUUAGAGCAUUAAGUUGUUCAUUCGUGCCGUAGCUAGCUCGCACGGAUUACGAUGAACCAGAUGGCAUGCACUUUUGCAGACCCUACUCCAAGCAGACUAAUUGGAAUAAGCAUGGUCCGCUUGCACCCCAUCACUCCACGUACUGACUUAGCUUUCAUGAGUUCCAAGCGGAUCGCUUGAAGUUCCAAACAGUCCACUUGCACUGUAUCUAUAUAACCCAUUUUCUCAUUUUUGGGGAGUUCAUGAGGACACACUACCGAAACGUUGUUGGAUUGACAGGAAACUACUCAGGAUAACUUUGGGAGUACGGGUGAAGACCUAUGGUUGAUCGUUUGGUUCUAGUUAUUGUAUUAACUAAUUUUAAAUAAGUUUUCAGAUUCAAAAAACUUAUAUUGAUUAUGGUUAUGUUGAGAUCAUAUCUUUGUACAUGUUUUAUGAUGAUGUUAGGCUAGUUUUUAUCUGAUUGUGUAAUAAAUAGGAUGAUUUUGUGA
This is a long non-coding RNA of Helianthus annuus (common sunflower), 1215 nucleotides long. RefSeq lists it as uncharacterized. The record is from RefSeq and is a predicted model, not a curated record. The transcript is spliced from 3 exons. NCBI's taxonomy places the organism in Eukaryota, Viridiplantae, Streptophyta, Magnoliopsida, Asterales, Asteraceae.